UUGUGCUGUUAUUAAGACUAUGAUUAUCUAAAAUUUCAAAUACGGUUGAUAUAACUGAAGCACAACCAAAAUAUGGUAUUUUUGGAUGGAAUCUUUCGUGUCAGCCUAUAGGCUUUCCAAUUCUUCAAAUUUCUUCUUUGGUUAAAUGUGAAAGAUUAAUGAGAGGGGAAAUUAAUUGUAGGUUACCAAACUAAAUAUUCCAUAUCAAAUAUGGCUUCUUUUUUUUCUUGUUUCUUACUUAUCCUUAAUCAUUUUCUCUUUAUUUGUGACA
Molecule: small RNA, 271 nt
Filed under: Oryza sativa Japonica Group (Japanese rice)
Lineage: Eukaryota; Viridiplantae; Streptophyta; Magnoliopsida; Poales; Poaceae
Description: sRNA Os06g0240025
Source: RNAcentral